This 497-nucleotide ribosomal RNA is filed under the name uncultured bacterium. Its description in RNAcentral is "partial 16S ribosomal RNA". It matches the Rfam family "Bacterial small subunit ribosomal RNA", at positions 28 to 507 of the family's 1533-position model. The record is from RNAcentral.
GAUGAACGCUGGCGGCGUGCCUAAUACAUGCAAGUCGAGCGAACAGAUGAGGAGCUUGCUCCUCUGACGUUAGCGGCGGACGGGUGAGUAACACGUGGAUAACCUACCUAUAAGACUGGGAUAACUUCGGGAAACCGGAGCUAAUACCGGAUAAUAUAUUGAACCGCAUGGUUCAAUAGUGAAAGACGGUUUUGCUGUCACUUAUAGAUGGAUCCGCGCCGCAUUAGCUAGUUGGUAAGGUAACGGCUUACCAAGGCAACGAUGCGUAGCCGACCUGAGAGGGUGAUCGGCCACACUGGAACUGAGACACGGUCCAGACUCCUACGGGAGGCAGCAGUAGGGAAUCUUCCGCAAUGGGCGAAAGCCUGACGGAGCAACGCCGCGUGGUUGAUGAAGGUCUUCGGUUCGUAAAACUCUGUUAUUAGGGAAGAACAAAUGUGUAAGUAACUAUGCACGUCUUGACGGUACCUAAUCAGAAAGCCACGGCUAACUACGUG